GUGCUCGCAUCGGCAGCACAUAGACUAAAAUUGGAACGAUACAGAGAAGAUUAGCAUGGCCCCUGCGCAAGGAUGACAAGCAGAUUCGUGAGGCGUUCCAUAUUUUU
This 107-nucleotide small nuclear RNA is filed under the name Peromyscus maniculatus bairdii (prairie deer mouse). Lineage: Eukaryota; Metazoa; Chordata; Mammalia; Rodentia; Cricetidae. The record is from RNAcentral.